UAACGCGUGAGAAUCUGGCUCUAGGUCUGGGACAACCACUGGAAACGGUGGCUAAUACCGGAUGUGCCGAGAGGUGAAAGGUUAACUGCCUAGAGAUGAGCUCGCGUCUGAUUAGCUAGUUGGAAGUGUAAUGGACUCCCAAGGCGACGAUCAGUAGCUGGUCUGAGAGGACGAUCAGCCACACUGGGACUGAGACACGGCCCAGACUCCUACGGGAGGCAGCAGUGGGGAAUUUUCCGCAAUGGGCGAAAGCCUGACGGAGCAAUACCGCGUGAGGGAGGAAGGCUCUUGGGUCGUAAACCUCUUUUCUCAGGGAAGAACAAAAUGACGGUACCUGAGGAAUAAGCAUCGGCUAACUCCGUGCCAGCAGCCGCGGUAAUACGGAGGAUGCAAGCGUUAUCCGGAAUGAUUGGGCGUAAAGCGUCCGCAGGUGGCUAAGUAAGUCUGCUGUUAAAGAGUCUAGCUCAACUAGAUAAGAGCAGUGGAAACUACUAGGCUAGAGUACGUUCGGGGCAGAGGGAAUUCCUGGUGUAGCGGUGAAAUGCGUAGAGAUCAGGAAGAACACCAGUGGCGAAGGCGCUCUGCUAGGCCGUAACUGACACUGAGGGACGAAAGCUAGGGGAGCGAAUGGG
Molecule: ribosomal RNA, 632 nt
Filed under: uncultured cyanobacterium
Lineage: Bacteria; Bacillati; Cyanobacteriota
Description: bacterial SSU rRNA
Rfam family: Bacterial small subunit ribosomal RNA
Source: RNAcentral